UGCAAGUCGAACGAGAAAGCCUUACUUUCGGGUGGGCGAGUAAAGUGGCGCACGGGUGAGUAACGCGUAGAUGAUCUACCCUUGAGUUCGGGACAACCUUGCGAAAGCGGGGCUAAUACCGGAUACGAUCUUACGGGAUGAAAGUUGGCCGCUCGAGGAAGCUAACGCUCGGGGAUGAGUCUGCGUCCUAUCAGCUAGUUGGUAGGGUAAAGGCCUACCAAGGCGACGACGGGUAGCUGGUCUGAGAGGAUGAUCAGCCACACUGGCACUGGAACACGGGCCAGACUCCUACGGGAGGCAGCAGUGAGGAAUUUUGCGCAAUGGGGGAAACCCUGACGCAGCAACGCCGCGUGGGUGAUGAAGGCCUUCGGGUCGUAAAGCCCUGUCAGGUGGGAAGAAUAGCUUGAGGAUUAAUAAGCCUCAAGUGUGACGGUACCGCUAGAGGAAGCACCGGCUAACUCCGUGCCAGCAGCCGCGGUAAUACGGAGGGUGCGAGCGUUAUUCGGAAUUACUGGGCGUAAAGCGCGUGUAGGCGGGAAGGCAAGUCUGACGUGAAAGCCCCGGGCUUAACCCGGGAAGGGCAUUGGAAACUGCUUUCCUUGAGUUCCGGAGAGGAUGGGGGAAUUCCCGGUGUAGAGGUGAAAUUCGUAGAGAUCGGGAGGAAUACCAGUGGCGAAGGCGCCCAUCUGGACGGUAACUGACGCUGAGACGCGAAAGCGUGGGGAGCAAACAGGAUUAGAUACCCUGGUAGUCCACGCUGUAAACGAUGAGCACUAGGUGUAGCGGGUAAUCAUUCCUGCUGUGCCGCAGCUAACGCGUUAAGUGCUCCGCCUGGGGACUACGGUCGCAAGACUAAAACUCAAAGGAAUUGACGGGGGCUCGCACAAGCGGUGGAGCAUGUGGUUUAUUCGACGCAACGCGAAGAAC
Molecule: ribosomal RNA, 927 nt
Filed under: uncultured Syntrophobacteraceae bacterium
Lineage: Bacteria; Pseudomonadati; Thermodesulfobacteriota; Syntrophobacteria; Syntrophobacterales; Syntrophobacteraceae
Description: bacterial SSU rRNA
Rfam family: Bacterial small subunit ribosomal RNA
Source: RNAcentral